AUGCGCGACGAGCAGGAAGAGAGCUUCGAAUGGGUGUUUUCAGAAUUCAUUCGCAUGAUGGGCGGACCUGCACCAAAAACAAUACUAACAGACCAAUGCAGAGUAAUGGAGGUUGCGAUCAAGAAAAUUUAUCCAAACACUGUCCACCGUUGGUGCAAGUGGCAUGUUCUUAAGAAGGUGAAGGAAACACUGGGGCCGCUUUACACGAAAAAGUGUGAUUUCCAAGCUGAAUUUCACAAAGUUGUUAACCACAUGUUAACUGAGGAGGAAUUUGAAACAGCCUGGGACGCGCUGCUUGAUAAGUACAACUUGAGGGGGCAUAACUAUAUGACCCAAAUAUAUGAGACAAGACAUAAAUGGGCAAAACCAUAUUUCAGAGGUGUGUUUUGUGCAAAAAUGACAAGUACGCAGAGGAGUGAGAGUGCAAACCACAUGCUGAAGUCAUACAUGCCCCCCCGCAAGCCCGAUGCAUGUUUUUGUCUGGCAAUACAUGGGGCUUCAGUUUGA
This 507-nucleotide ribosomal RNA is filed under the name Triticum aestivum (bread wheat). RNAcentral describes it as "partial small subunit ribosomal RNA". Lineage: Eukaryota; Viridiplantae; Streptophyta; Magnoliopsida; Poales; Poaceae. The record is from RNAcentral.